CCUACGGGUGGCAGCAGUAGGGAAUCUUUCACAAUGGGCGAAAGCCUGAUGGAGCAACGCCGCGUGCAGGAUGAAGGCCUUCGGGUUGUAAACUGCUUUUAUAAGCGAGAAAUAUGAUGGUAACUUAUGAAUAAGGAUCGGCUAACUACGUGCCAGCAGCCGCCGUCAUACGUAGGAUCCGAGCAUUAUCCGGAGUGACUGGGUGUAAAGAGUUGCGUAGGUGGCCUAAUAAGUAGCUAGUGAAAUCUGGUGGCUCAACCAUUCAGACUAUUAGCUAAACUGUUAAGCUCGAGACCGUUAGGGGUAACUGGAAUUUCUAGUGUAGGAGUGAAAUGCGUAGAUAUUAGAAGGAACACCAAUAGCGUAGGCAGGUUACUGGGACGGUUCUGACACUAAGGCACGAAAGCGUAGGGAGCAAACGGGAUUAGAUACCCUUGUAGUC
This 442-nucleotide ribosomal RNA is filed under the name uncultured bacterium. Its description in RNAcentral is "partial 16S ribosomal RNA". It matches the Rfam family "Bacterial small subunit ribosomal RNA", at positions 338 to 795 of the family's 1533-position model. The record is from RNAcentral.